Molecule: ribosomal RNA, 455 nt
Filed under: uncultured bacterium
Lineage: Bacteria
Description: bacterial SSU rRNA
Rfam family: Bacterial small subunit ribosomal RNA
Source: RNAcentral
UACGGAAGGCAGCAGGGGGGAAUAUUGCACAAUGGGCGCAAGCCUGAUGCAGCCAUGCCGCGUGUAUGAAGAAGGCCUUCGGGUUGUAAAGUACUUUCAGUCGUGAGGAAGGUGUUAAGGUUAAUAACCUUAGCAAUUGACGUUAGCGACAGAAGAAGCACCGGCUAACUCCGUGCCAGCAGCCGCGGUAAUACGGAGGGUGCGAGCGUUAAUCGGAAUUACUGGGCGUAAAGGGCACGCAGGCGGUUAAUUAAGUUGGAUGUGAAAUCCCCGGGCUUAACCUGGGAAUGGCAUUCAAGACUGGUUAGCUAGAGUCUUGUAGAGGGGGGUGAAAUUCCAUGUGUAGCGGUGAAAUGCGUAGAGAUGUGGAGGAAUACCGGUGGCGAAGGCGGCCCCUGGACAAAGACUGACGCUCAUGUGCGAAAGCGUGGGGAGCGAAACAGGGAUUAGAUACC